AACGGCUGAUUUGUGACAUCGCACCUCACUGCUUCUAUGGGCAAUGCUGGCUCAGCCUAGCAGAAGGCAGUACACGACAGGGAGAAGUAAAGGAAGAGAUCAUGAAGUUUAAGGCAAACUAUUCAAUUCUACAUCUUCCUCCUGGAGGCCUGGAGACUGGAGCAGUACGUGCUACUCAAAUGCGCUCUUUAGGAGUGUUGAGUUUCAGAGAACAUCACAGAAGUUAACUUCAUGCUGCUUUCAGAAAGACUGAUGGUAGAGGCUUGCUUGUCAUCACAUUGUCAUCUUGUCCAAAGAGACUGGAUCGCAAUAAGUUAAAGCUCUGGUGUGACACAG
Molecule: long non-coding RNA, 336 nt
Organism: Coturnix japonica (Japanese quail)
Lineage: Eukaryota; Metazoa; Chordata; Aves; Galliformes; Phasianidae
Source: RefSeq, a predicted model, not a curated record